Molecule: long non-coding RNA, 2245 nt
Filed under: Vigna radiata
Lineage: Eukaryota; Viridiplantae; Streptophyta; Magnoliopsida; Fabales; Fabaceae
Description: long non-coding RNA (VRAD_LNC002486)
Source: RNAcentral
AGAAAUAUAUAUAAUAUAGAGUGCUGCAUAUAUAAUACGAGAAAACAGUUACGAGUAAUUAUUAUAUGAAGUACAUUAUAAUACAGUCAUCCAAAAGAGAGGCGGAAUUAAAACCUUGCUUGCAAUAAGGUUAACUUAAAAUAUAAGCAAGCUAGAUACAAAAAGAACUAAGUUAUAUACAUGUAUGAUCCUAUCUGGCCUAUACUACUUUGUAGUAUCUGGAACAUCGACUUCAUCCAAAACCUGCUCCAGUGGCACCUCUCCUACCUCUGCUCACAUCUAAUUUGGAUGUUCAUUGCAAAAGAAAAACAAACACAUACAGAACAAACAACCAAGCAACAAGGGUAAGUUAGAUUUUUAAAGAGUGUACAAGUUAUAUAAGACUGGCUAGAAUAAAAUGAACAUGCAAGCAAACAAAUCAUAGAAGAAUAGUUUUAUUAGGUUAUGUUAGAAUUAGACUCGUCCGGACCUAGAAUGAAUAUCGAGCUAUGACAGGUUAUGCACUUGUGGUGGCCUCUACUGCUUUGCAAAGCCAAUUGCUAUGGGUUCCACCCUAUCACCACAAGGUCAGUCCGUUAUCACUCAUCUUGGCCCAUUUAAAAUGGAGACAACCAAGACUAGGACCUCCUACUACUCUCACCACAUGACAUAUUCUUCUUUAAGUGAGAUGGAAUAGCCAUUAGAGUGUUAAGGAAAACCCCCAAGACUGAGCUACCUAUAUUAAUUCCAGAAACUUAAUUUUAAUCUCACCAAGAGAUGUAAAUUAAUUCAUUAAGUCAUAUUACACCACAUGGAACACAAUCAUUCUUUAGUUAUGUCAUAAAAACAACUUAUACAUACUCAAACAUUACAUAUUUUUAGAAAAACAUCACUUAUUAAAGCAAAUAUGUUUAUAAUCUUUAAUUACAAUUACUUAAUUAAUUCAAAUAGGAAGGGUCAAAAACCACCAGAACGACCUAAAGAACGUCCAAAAAUGAUACCCGGAAUCCCUAAAACCACUCAAAACUGUCCCGGAUCAUUUCCUGACAACAAUAAUCGAUUAUUACAUAUGAUAAUCAAUUUUUUACGUAUGAUAAUCGAUUAUUACAUGUGAUAAUCGAUUAUUUACGAGAACUUUGAAGAAAAUAUGAUAUUCUGACUAGAAUAAUCGAUUGUCAAGUGGGAUAAUCGAUUAUUCUUAUCAGUAUUUGACAGCAACCUUAUUUUUUUCUGGUUUUCGAUGUAUCUAAGACACUUUAAUGAGUUUCUAACACUCCCAACUUGAUCUAUGUGACUAAUUAGACUUGCCUAACUGGUUCUAAGCAUUCUUAAUCCCAUAAUUUAGUGUUUAUGCAAUUAAUUUCCCUUCUAUGACUUCCAUUUGAUGAACUUAGGGUGCUAAAUCUGAAUUUAUCAAUUAGAAGUUGUUUUGAACCAUUUUAUCACUUCCUACAAAUCACAUAUGACUUACCUAAGUUGUCUAAACUGACUAAGACCAUCUGUAAUACCUAACUCUCCAUAUGACUAUAUUAGUUCCUCUAAUAUGACCUUAACUCAAAUAAUGUACCUAAUUACUAUCUAGUAGCUUGUUCAACAGAAAUUACUACACCUAAUUACUCAAUAUCAUCAUCAAACCCUACCCAUACUGGUUCAUAAGUAAAAUUCCACAAUCCCAUUAUUUAUCAGGCAAUUAUCAAUCAAAAUAACAUACCCAAAUUCCAAAGUUCAGUACAAUUAACAUCCACACACACAUUUCAUACAUGCAGUAUAUCAUCAAUUCAAACAACAAUUUAUUGAAUACACUUUCAAAUUUACCAAAUAGAAAUCAAGACCUAGCUUCCCUUACCUAGGAUUUUCAUAGAAAAGAUCAAGGUUUGCCUCUAGACUUCCCAACACUUUCAGAAUUUUGCCCCAACCCUAAAGAUCACAAAAGAGUGAUCAAAAUAGUUUUCAAAACUAAAAUCGAGAGAGAAUUGAAAGGGAUAAUGCUAAUAAUAUGUGCAGUCAGCAGAUUGCAUGUUCUAGGGUCCAAGGUAACUGAGGAAAAAUGAAAGAAUACUUACUCCCUCAAAAGCAGCAGAAUGAUCGGUGCAAACUAGAACCCUUGGCUUCAAAAUGGUUCAGGCAACUACAGGAUGAUGAUUAAAUGGUUCAGUAUGGAGAAUUUGGAAAAAGAAAUGUGAAGAAGAAGAAGUUAGAGCUGCUGGAAGAGGACUACCAGUGUUCAGAAAGUGAGACAGCUUUGGAAUUUUCAAUAUAAAAAUCA